This 408-nucleotide ribosomal RNA is filed under the name uncultured bacterium. RNAcentral describes it as "partial 16S ribosomal RNA". It matches the Rfam family "Bacterial small subunit ribosomal RNA", at positions 28 to 526 of the family's 1533-position model. The record is from RNAcentral.
GACGAACGCUGGCGGCGUGCUUAACACAUGCAAGUCGAACGAAGUGGCGAACGGGUGAGUAACGCGUAGGAAACCUACCUAUUAGAGGGGGAUAACUAUUGGAAACGAUAGCUAAUACCGCAUACUAGUAGAUGGACCUGCGUUGUAUUAGCUAGUAGGUAGGGUAAAGGCCUACCUAGGCAACGAUACAUAGCCGACCUGAGAGGGUGAUCGGCCACAUUGGGACUGAGACACGGCCCAGACUCCUACGGGAGGCAGCAGUGGGGAAUCUUCCGCAAUGGACGAAAGUCUGACGGAGCAACGCCGCGUGAGUGAUGACGGCCUUCGGGUUGUAAAGCUCUGUUAAUCGGGACGCGGUACCGGAAUAGAAAGCCACGGCUAACUACGUGCCAGCAGCCGCGGUAAUAC